UACGUAGGGAGCAAGGGUUGUCCGGAAUCAUUGGGCGUAAAGCGCGCGUAGGCGGCCCCGUAAGUCCGCUGUGAAAGUCAAAGGCUCAACCUUUGAAAGCCGGUGGAUACUGUCGGGCUAGAGUACGGAAGAGGCAAGUGGAAUUCCUGGUGUAGCGGUGGAAUGCGCAGAUAUCAGGAGGAACACCUAUAGCGAAGGCAGCUUGCUGGGACGUUACUGACGCUAAGGCGCGAAAGCGUGGGGAGCGAACAGG
This 253-nucleotide ribosomal RNA is filed under the name uncultured bacterium. RNAcentral's name for it is "partial 16S ribosomal RNA". It matches the Rfam family "Bacterial small subunit ribosomal RNA", at positions 524 to 776 of the family's 1533-position model. The record is from RNAcentral.